CAGCCGCCACGGUAAUACGUAGGUGGCAAGCGUUGUCCGGAAUUAUUGGGCGUAAAGCGCGCGCAGGUGGUUUAAUAAGUCUGAUGUGGAAGCCCACGGCUCAACCGUGGAGGGUCAUUGGAAACUGUUAAACUUGAGUGCAGGAGAGAAAAGUGGAAUUCCUAGUGUAGCGGUGAAAUGCGUAGAGAUUAGGAGGAACACCAGUGGCGAAGGCGGCUUUUUGGCCUGUAACUGACACUGAGGCGCGAAAGCGUGGGGAGCAAACAGGAUUAGAUACCCCAGUAGUCCCUGUCUCUUAUAC
This 301-nucleotide ribosomal RNA is filed under the name uncultured bacterium. RNAcentral's name for it is "partial 16S ribosomal RNA". It matches the Rfam family "Bacterial small subunit ribosomal RNA", at positions 509 to 807 of the family's 1533-position model. The record is from RNAcentral.